This 500-nucleotide ribosomal RNA is filed under the name uncultured bacterium. Its description in RNAcentral is "partial 16S ribosomal RNA". It matches the Rfam family "Bacterial small subunit ribosomal RNA", at positions 28 to 523 of the family's 1533-position model. The record is from RNAcentral.
GAUGAACGCUAGCGGCAGGCUUAAUACAUGCAAGUCGAGGGGCAGCACAGGUAGCAAUACUGGGUGGCGACCGGCAAACGGGUGCGGAACACGUACACAACUUACCUUAGAGUGGGGGAUAGCCCAGGGAAACUUGGAUUAAUACCCCAUAAAACAGGGGGCCCGCAUGGGCAUAUUGUUAAAGAUUUAUCGCUUUAAGAUGGGUGUGCGUAUGAUUAGGUAGUUGGUAGGGUAAAGGCCUACCAAGCCGACGAUCAUUAACUGGUGUGAGAGUACGAACAGUCACACGGGAACUGAGACACGGGCCCGACUCCUACGGAAGGCAGCAGUAAGGAAUAUUGGUCAAUGGACGUAAGUCUGAACCAGCCAUGCCGCGUGAAGGAUGAAGGUCCUCUGGAUUGUAAACUUCUUUUAUAGGGGGCGAAAAAGGGCCAUUCUUGGUCAACUGACGGUACCCUAUGAAUAAGCACCGGCUAACUCCGUGCCAGCAGCCGCGGUAA